GCUACGCCAGCAAGCCAGGACAGAGCUUUCUGGAUGGGGUCGCUGGGUCCGUGCAGAUCACACUCUGCUGGAAGUGACUCAUCGUUUGCUUGGUGCAGUGAAAGCUGGACUCCAUGGUCCACAAUAAGCCAGAGACACUGGAACCACAAAGGGCUAGACACCUGCCCCUGGGGCACAGGACUUGGGUUCUUUCCUUCCAGCCAAGCAUGGAGAAAGGAGCUGGGAGAUUGUGGGCUUCCUGCUCUUCCUGGUCCUCUGUGGAUGCACUGACCCUUUGAGGCAGAGCUUGGCAGGUCUCAGGUACUAUAGCAGCCAGGAGGAGGGCUCUCACACCACAGAGGGAUGACAAGCGCAGAGCCGGCUCUCACCCUUCCUGCGCUUGUGAGACUGGGCCGGCCCCCUGCGCAGCUUUCCUCACGUAGCCCGGCGAGCGCAGCAGCAUCCUGCGACCCUCCUCCCGCAGCACUGUCAGCAGCAGCCCUCGCUGGUUCCAGGGCACGUAGGCUUUGGCGACUAACAGCACCUCCUCUGGCCAAAGCCGGCAGGCAGUGACAUAGUCCAGCGCGCCCAGGAAGGCUCUGCCCUCGAGCACCCGCAGCAGCCCUCGGCCGCACAGCGCGCGCACGCAGCCUCCCGCAUUCGGCGCCCCGCGCUCUACCACCGCCUGGAAGUCUUCGCGCGCCCGCCGCGCAUCGCCUGCGUGCAGCGCGCAGAAGCCGCGCAGCGCCACCAGCGGCGCGAGGUCUCCUACGCGCUCCCCGGGACGCCUGGGCCUCAGGAGGCGCUCACACUGCGUCCGAGCCCCAGCUACGUCCCCGGACAGCAGCAGGCACUCGGCCAGGCGGAUCCCUAGCGCGGAUCGCCUUCGGGCGGGCGCCACGCGGAACAGGACGUGGAGCGCUCGAGUCACGGGAACCAAGAGCUCACGGUCCGCGUCCUCUCGCAGCUCUGGGCGGCUUCGCACAGCCUCCAGGAAGCGGGCGAAGCCCACGUCCGCAGCCUCCUGCGCCCGAGCUUGCAAGCGUUCGCGGUCCUCGGCGGACAGCAGAGCCUGGAAGUGCCUCCGUGCCCCGGCGGGACUCUCACGGAAGGCAUCCUGUAGGUCCAGCAGUGCGUCCCCUGCUUGGCCAUCCAGGAAGAAGGCCGCGGCUGCGCGGGUGACCAGCAGGGCCGCCAGAUGCUCACCUGGGGAGAGAAAUGGGGUGUUGCUCUGCCUUCCUGUCAGUUCGGGGCGUCUACCCCAAGUGCGUGGGUAACAAAGGGCUCUGAAACCACAAGGACAACCCCAAGCUCAUGGCGCCCGUGAGUGAUGCCGCAGAUAGGUGCCAGCACCACAGCUCCUGGUGCCACCCAGCACUGUUCCCCGAGAGUGGCUCUGGGUAGGCAUCACCUCUCAGUCUCAAAAUUUAUUUACAUUUCUUUCCGUGCAGACUUUCAGUGAUGGGUUUUAGUUUUCUUUCAGGGAUGUAGCCCCAUCCAGCCCACUCUGUGAAACUGAGGUUCUGACUCUGACCGGUCCUGGAAUCUUUGCAUCCUGUCUUUGUAGGACCCAACACUUCCCUGUAGGAAACCGAAACAGCAGAAGGCCCAGGAAGGAGGGACUCAGUAAUCUGAAGUAAUCUGAGUUGGUGGACCUCAGCCAUUGGCGGAAGUCAUGGUUUCUGUCCCCUUCCCAUUGUUAGGAUGGGAGCCCCAGGGUGUGAGGAGGGAUGUGGCAAGCACACUACCUCAGCCCUGAACCCAGCAACUUAACAAACUACCAGUUUGCACAGACUGACCAAGAAAAACCCCAUACCAGGGUCCCCUGUCCUGGUGGCAGAAGCCAAAGGUGCAAAUGGUUGUGAACAGAAGAGAGGUCACCUUGGGAGGCCCUGCAGCUGCUGACAUCACACCCACAUUUCCUUCCAAGAAAACAACCACACACACAAUUAAGAAACAACCACACAUAGUCCACUAAGGCUCUAUUCAUUUUUUCAUAUCAGAUCAUCUCCAUUUUAUUUUAAAUUUGGCUGACUCUUCUCCCAUCUCUAUGAUGCUGAUUUUUUCAUUAUUAUUUCACUUUUCAAUUAAUUUCCUUUUUUGGGGGGCGAUGUUGGGUAUCAAACCCAGGUUUGUGUACAUGUUAGGCAAGCACUUCACCACUGAAUUAUAGACCCCAGAUAGUAUUUAUUAAAUUGUACACCAGACAUUUGAGCAAUACUUUGUAAAAACUCUCAAUUUAUGUUCCUCAGAUGAGGGCUGAAUUUUGUUUUAGUAAUCAGUUAAGUUGCCUGAACUCAAUUUCCAAAUUCUAUAUGUAGCCCUGGCUGUCCUGGAAAUCAAUCUGUAGGGCAUGCUA
Onychomys torridus (southern grasshopper mouse) is the source of this 2338-nucleotide long non-coding RNA. RefSeq lists it as uncharacterized. NCBI's taxonomy places the organism in Eukaryota, Metazoa, Chordata, Mammalia, Rodentia, Cricetidae. The transcript has 4 exons. The record is from RefSeq and is a predicted model, not a curated record.